UGGCAUUGCCGGGUAGCUACGUUCGGACAGGAUAACCGCUGAAAGCAUCUAAGCGGGAAGCCCCCUUCAAGAUGAGAUCUCACAGGAGUUUAACUCCCUAAAGAGCCGUUCAAGACUAGGACGUUGAUAGGUUGGGUGUGUAAGCGCGGUAACGUGUUGAGCUAACCAAUACUAAUUGCUCGUGAGGCUUGACCAUAUAACGCCAAAAGCGUUG
This 214-nucleotide ribosomal RNA is filed under the name Oceanospirillaceae bacterium. Its description in RNAcentral is "partial 23S ribosomal RNA". It matches the Rfam family "Bacterial large subunit ribosomal RNA", at positions 2733 to 2925 of the family's 2925-position model. Lineage: Bacteria; Pseudomonadati; Pseudomonadota; Gammaproteobacteria; Oceanospirillales; Oceanospirillaceae. The record is from RNAcentral.